This 570-nucleotide long non-coding RNA is filed under the name Rattus norvegicus (Norway rat). Its description in RNAcentral is "long non-coding RNA NONRATT030555". Lineage: Eukaryota; Metazoa; Chordata; Mammalia; Rodentia; Muridae. The record is from RNAcentral.
GAACACUCUUAACCGCUGAACCAUCUCCCUGGCCCCUAGAAGCUGUUUUUAUUGUUACACAGAAGGUACUUUUAGCAAGUCAUUUUCCACAUACCCAAACCUUAUCUGAUCUAGGGGUUGUCUUGAAAGACUCAUCACCUAAGCAUUUCUCAGCCACAGGAGACUUCCUGGUUUGCCAGGCUUGUCUUGAGUCUAAGUUAUGCAAAGCGCUGAGACUCCUUCAAAAGAACAACCUCAUAAAAUCUCAGAUAACAAUCACUCACAAAAGGCUACUUCAAAGCCCUGGUGUCAUCGCUUCAGAUUCAUGCCAGAUACAAAGGCUCUGCUAAGAUUCUGCAACUUGAGGGGAGGGGGAGCACAAGCAUUUUUAACAUUUGAACCUUAUCUCCAGCCUUCUGUUUUUUUUUCUUCUUAUAGCUGGAAAAAAGCAGGUGUGGAACACGAAAAAGAAAACAAGUUGAUUUUCCUGGAGACAUAUAAGUUCUUUAUGUCCACAUUCAACAUUUGUUAUACAAGCCCAUUUAGCAGUAUGCAGAUAACUUGUUCUGAUUUGGACCAAGAUUUAUAAAG